AGGCCAGUAGCUCAGUUGGACAGAGCACAAGAUUCCUAAUCUUGGGGUCGCGGGUUCAACUCCCGCCUGGCCUACCA
Molecule: transfer RNA, 77 nt
Filed under: Lentisphaerota bacterium
Lineage: Bacteria; Pseudomonadati; Lentisphaerota
Description: Lentisphaerae bacterium (anaerobic digester metagenome) tRNA-Arg
Rfam family: tRNA
About the family: Transfer RNA (tRNA) molecules are approximately 80 nucleotides in length. Their secondary structure includes four short double-helical elements and three loops (D, anti-codon, and T loops).
Source: RNAcentral